CCUACGGGAGGCAGCAGUGAGGAAUUUUGCGCAAUGGGGGAAACCCUGACGCAGCGACGCCGCGUGGAGGAUGACGGCCUUCGGGUUGUAAACUCCUGUCAGAGGUGAAGAAUCCCCGCAAGGGGUUGACGGUAACCUCAAAGGAAGCCCCGGCUAACUACGUGCCAGCAGCCGCGGUAAUACGUAGGGGGCAAACGUUACUCGGAAUUACUGGGCGUAAAGGGUGUGUAGGCGGCUGAGUAAGUCAAAGAUGAAAUCCCAUGGCUUAACUGUGGAAUUGUCUUUGAAACUGCUCGGCUUGAGGAUAGUCGAGGAGAAUGGAAUUCCCGGUGGAGCGGUGAAAUUCGUAGAUAUCGGGAGGAACACCAGUGGCGAAGGCGGCUCUCUGGUCCGAUACUGACGCUGAAACGCGAAAGCGUGGGGAGCAAACAGGAUUAGAUACCCUGGUAGUCCACGCCGUAAACGAUGGGCACUAGGUGUAGGAGGUAUUGACCCCUUCUGUGCCGAAGUUAACGCAUUAAGUGCCCCGCCUGGGGAGUACGGCCGCAAGGUUAAAACUCAAAGGAAUUGACGG
RNAcentral lists this ribosomal RNA (574 nucleotides) under uncultured bacterium. RNAcentral's name for it is "bacterial SSU rRNA". It matches the Rfam family "Bacterial small subunit ribosomal RNA", at positions 338 to 916 of the family's 1533-position model. The record is from RNAcentral.